RNAcentral lists this long non-coding RNA (1151 nucleotides) under Triticum aestivum (bread wheat). Its description in RNAcentral is "long non-coding RNA (TAES_LNC007653)". Lineage: Eukaryota; Viridiplantae; Streptophyta; Magnoliopsida; Poales; Poaceae. The record is from RNAcentral.
UUGCAUUGCAGCGAGAGAGGCAAAGGGAGGGAGAAGUUAAACAAUGUGAGAUGUAAAUCAAGUGCAUGGUUAAAGUCUGGGUGGAGAUGGAAGGUGUGAUUGCGAGCUAGAUGCACCAUUGAAAAAUGUGGUGAGCCUGGGCUCGGGAGGAAGAGAGGCAAAGAUAAUGGGUGGAGGAAGAAAAGGAAAAGAGUAAUUUAACGGUAAAAAAGACAACAUUCGCUGAUGUACAUGAGGAAACUAAAGGUACUCCACUUGUUCUAAAUUAAUGUUUUCUUUCUCACGAAUCAAUGUGGAACUGUGUACUGACAUUCCUCCUUAUCUGGAAUCUCCAUUUGCACCAUCUAGAAGAAAAUUUAAGGAAGAGACUAAAAGGCACAUACAUGAGUAGCCUCAUUCUUGUCUUAGAAAGUUGGUUCUUAUAUGUCUUAGAAAGUUGGUUCUUAUAUAUAUGUCUUGGAUUAAAAAGAGCAUGAGAACUUGCCAAGCCAUCUGAAAAUGCCAUCAUAGCCAAAACUUUUUUUAGGUUGCUGACAACAUUGAGCUGGACUUGCUUUUUUUGCUACUAUUGCUGAAGACAAACUCCAAAAAAGGGAGUGAAAGCAGAAAGAAGAGAGGUUGCACAAGAUGAGUAAUGAUGGGUAGCGAUAGAGGCUGAAGCUGUGAUGAUGAUGCGGAUAUGACCAUUAGUAUGUUUCCCAUCAAGGAAACCUACAAUUUCUAUUAUGAUACAAAUUUUCUAUUAUGAGGUGUGUUUCUCAUAAAGAAUGUGAUUUCUGCAUGAUAGUUUUCUAAAAACGUGAAGGUUUUAUGCAAAGACUGACAUUUUAGAAGGAUGUAGUAAAAUGUAAACCUUGGUAGGUACUCCUGAAGUUGAAGCUGCUCAAGCAAUAGUAAUUUGUUUUUCCGAGCACUGAACUACUAUUUCUGGUUUUGCUUAUUGUUAUUCCUCGUAGGAUGUUCAAGAGGAACACCCUUUAAAUUGUGUACUUGUCAUAGCUUCAGGUCCACUUGUGAGCCCUUAUGCAAUUUUGCUUAAGUUAGAUUAGGAUGGGUUCCUUUGACCUUAUGGUCAUGUAUAUAACAACGAGGACCUAUUACAUAUCCUUUUUUCCCUCAGAAAUCUUUAGGUACAACUGCAUGGUCACGUG